RNAcentral lists this ribosomal RNA (2904 nucleotides) under Pectobacterium carotovorum subsp. carotovorum. Its description in RNAcentral is "23S ribosomal RNA". It matches the Rfam family "Bacterial large subunit ribosomal RNA". The record is from RNAcentral. Lineage: Bacteria; Pseudomonadati; Pseudomonadota; Gammaproteobacteria; Enterobacterales; Pectobacteriaceae.
UUAAGCGACUAAGCGUACACGGUGGAUGCCUAGGCAGUCAGAGGCGAUGAAGGGCGUGCUAAUCUGCGAUAAGCGUCGGUAAGCUGAUAUGAAGCGUUAUACCCGACGAUACCCGAAUGGGGAAACCCAGUGUGUUUCGACACACUAUCAUGGCAUGAAUACAUAGUGUCAUGAGGCGAACCGGGGGAACUGAAACAUCUCAGUACCCCGAGGAAAAGAAAUCAACCGAGAUUCCCCCAGUAGCGGCGAGCGAACGGGGAGGAGCCCAGAACCUGAAUCAGUUUGUGUGUUAGUGGAAGCGUCUGGAAAGUCGCACAGUAAAGGGUGAUAGUCCCGUACACAAAAAUGCACAAGUUGUGAGUUCGAUGAGUAGGGCGGGACACGUGACAUCCUGUCUGAAUAUGGGGGGACCAUCCUCCAAGGCUAAAUACUCCUGACUGACCGAUAGUGAACCAGUACCGUGAGGGAAAGGCGAAAAGAACCCCGGCGAGGGGAGUGAAAUAGAACCUGAAACCGUGUACGUACAAGCAGUGGGAGCCUACUUGUUAGGUGACUGCGUACCUUUUGUAUAAUGGGUCAGCGACUUAUAUUCUGUAGCAAGGUUAACCGUAUAGGGGAGCCGCAGGGAAACCGAGUCUUAACUGGGCGUUAAGUUGCAGGGUAUAGACCCGAAACCCGGUGAUCUAGCCAUGGGCAGGUUGAAGGUUGGGUAACACUAACUGGAGGACCGAACCGACUAAUGUUGAAAAAUUAGCGGAUGACUUGUGGCUGGGGGUGAAAGGCCAAUCAAACCGGGAGAUAGCUGGUUCUCCCCGAAAGCUAUUUAGGUAGCGCCUCGUGAAUUCAUCUUCGGGGGUAGAGCACUGUUUCGGCUAGGGGGUCAUCCCGACUUACCAACCCGAUGCAAACUACGAAUACCGAAGAAUGUUAUCACGGGAGACACACGGCGGGUGCUAACGUUCGUCGUGAAGAGGGAAACAACCCAGACCGCCAGCUAAGGUCCCAAAGUCAUGGUUAAGUGGGAAACGAUGUGGGAAGGCAUAGACAGCCAGGAUGUUGGCUUAGAAGCAGCCAUCAUUUAAAGAAAGCGUAAUAGCUCACUGGUCGAGUCGGCCUGCGCGGAAGAUGUAACGGGGCUAAACCAUGCACCGAAGCUGCGGCAGCGACACUUAGGUGUUGUUGGGUAGGGGAGCGUUCUGUAAGCCUGCGAAGGUGGCCUGUGAGGGCUGCUGGAGGUAUCAGAAGUGCGAAUGCUGACAUAAGUAACGAUAAUGCGGGUGAAAAACCCGCACGCCGGAAGACCAAGGGUUCCUGUCCAACGUUAAUCGGGGCAGGGUGAGUCGACCCCUAAGGCGAGGCUGAAAAGCGUAGUCGAUGGGAAACAGGUUAAUAUUCCUGUACUCGGUGUUACUGCGAAGGGGGGACGGAGAAAGCUAGGUUAUCCGGGCGACGGUUGUCCCGGUUUAAGCGUGAAGGUGGAUGACUUUGGUAAAUCCGGGUCAUCGUUAACACUGAGGCGUGAUGACGAGUCACUACGGUGAUGAAGUAACCGAUGCUACGCUUCCAGGAAAAGCCUCUAAGCUCCAGGUAACAUCAAAUCGUACCCCAAACCGACACAGGUGGUCAGGUAGAGAAUACUCAGGCGCUUGAGAGAACUCGGGUGAAGGAACUAGGCAAAAUGGUGCCGUAACUUCGGGAGAAGGCACGCUGAUGGUAGGUGAAGUGACUUGCUCAUGGAGCUGAAAUCAGUCGAAGAUACCAGCUGGCUGCAACUGUUUAAUAAAAACACAGCACUGUGCAAACACGAAAGUGGACGUAUACGGUGUGACGCCUGCCCGGUGCCGGAAGGUUAAUUGAUGGGGUCAGCCGCAAGGCGAAGCUCUUGAUCGAAGCCCCGGUAAACGGCGGCCGUAACUAUAACGGUCCUAAGGUAGCGAAAUUCCUUGUCGGGUAAGUUCCGACCUGCACGAAUGGCGUAAUGAUGGCCAGGCUGUCUCCACCCGAGACUCAGUGAAAUUGAACUCGCUGUGAAGAUGCAGUGUACCCGCGGCAAGACGGAAAGACCCCGUGAACCUUUACUAUAGCUUGACACUGAACCUUGAGCCUUGAUGUGUAGGAUAGGUGGGAGGCUUUGAAGCGUGGACGCCAGUCUGCGUGGAGCCAACCUUGAAAUACCACCCUUUAAUGUUUGAUGUUCUAACGUGGACCCGUGAUCCGGGUUGCGGACAGUGUCUGGUGGGUAGUUUGACUGGGGCGGUCUCCUCCCAAAGCGUAACGGAGGAGCACGAAGGUUAGCUAAUCCUGGUCGGACAUCAGGAGGUUAGUGCAAAGGCAUAAGCUAGCUUGACUGCGAGAGUGACAGCUCGAGCAGGUGCGAAAGCAGGUCUUAGUGAUCCGGUGGUUCUGAAUGGAAGGGCCAUCGCUCAACGGAUAAAAGGUACUCCGGGGAUAACAGGCUGAUACCGCCCAAGAGUUCAUAUCGACGGCGGUGUUUGGCACCUCGAUGUCGGCUCAUCACAUCCUGGGGCUGAAGUAGGUCCCAAGGGUAUGGCUGUUCGCCAUUUAAAGUGGUACGCGAGCUGGGUUUAGAACGUCGUGAGACAGUUCGGUCCCUAUCUGCCGUGGGCGUUGGAAGAUUGAGAGGGGUUGCUCCUAGUACGAGAGGACCGGAGUGAACGCACCACUGGUGUACGGGUUGUGAUGCCAAUUGCAUUGCCCGGUAGCUAAGUGCGGAAGAGAUAACCGCUGAAAGCAUCUAAGCGGGAAACUUGCCUCGAGAUGAGUCUUCCCUGGGCACUUGAUGCCCCUGAAGGGCCGUUGAAGACGACGACGUAGAUAGGCUGGGUGUGUAAGCGUAGCGAUACGUUGAGCUAACCAGUACUAAUGACCCGAGAGGCUUAACCU